RNAcentral lists this ribosomal RNA (508 nucleotides) under uncultured bacterium. Its description in RNAcentral is "partial 16S ribosomal RNA". It matches the Rfam family "Bacterial small subunit ribosomal RNA", at positions 28 to 523 of the family's 1533-position model. The record is from RNAcentral.
GAUGAACGCUAGCUACAGGCUUAACACAUGCAAGUCGAGGGGAAACGACAUCGAAAGCUUGCUUUUGAUGGGCGUCGACCGGCGCACGGGUGAGUAACGCGUAUCCAACCUGCCCACCACUUGGGGAUAAUCUUGCGAAAGUAAGACUAAUACCAAAUGACGUCUCUAGAAGACAUCUGAAAGAGAUUAUAGAUUUAUCGGUGAUGGAUGGGGGUGCGUCUGAUUAGCUCGUUGGCGGGGUAACGGCCCACCAAGGCUACGAUCAGUAGGGGUUCUGAGAGGAAGGUCCCCCACAUUGGAACUGAGACACGGUCCAAACUCCUACGGGAGGCAGCAGUGAGGAAUAUUGGUCAAUGGACGAGAGUCUGAACCAGCCAAGUAGCGUGCAGGAAGACGGCCCUAUGGGUUGUAAACUGCUUUUAUAAGGGAAUAAAGUGAGUCUCGUGAGACUUUUUGCAUGUACCUUAUGAAUAAGGACCGGCUAAUUCCGUGCCAGCCGCCGCAGUAA